This is a non-coding RNA of Drosophila virilis, 405 nucleotides long. Lineage: Eukaryota; Metazoa; Arthropoda; Insecta; Diptera; Drosophilidae. The record is from RefSeq and is a predicted model, not a curated record.
CAUCGUCGUCGUCGUGGUCGUCGUCGUAGCCGUCGCCGCCAGCCAACUAAAUAAAUAAAAACUCAUGCCUAGUGCCAGUUCCCAGUUUUCCCAGUUUCAGUCCCGACAGUUCAGACGCUUCAUGGAUAAUAUACUUAAACUAGUUGGGAAUUGCAAGCGUAAAGCAACGCUAAAAAUAAGACGAGCAAGUUGGACUCCGAUUUCUGCGCGUAUUUGCAGUUACAAAUUUGCUCGUACUUUAAGACGAUUUACAUUUGACUAAACGCUUAAAUUCUGGUCUUUUUCGCUGAGUGUGUGCAGCGACAGAGUCGCCAACGACGACGUCUUUGGCUUUGGGCAGUUGCCUUCAGUUGCCGUCUCAAAUAUCAUAAAAACAAGUCAAUACAACGCGCUAAUGAAACCAAA